CGGCCUGCAGUCCGUGCCUCUCUGCCCGCGCGGGGACCACACAGUUGGAGAGGCUGCCGGGCACCGGCGCGGGCGAUGCUCAGCAUGGACCUCCGGCCGGCCAGCCUGGGCUUGUUUUCCCGGUAGUACUGAGUUCUGAGAGAGAGUAACUGCAUGGGAGGCCUUGAAGACUGGGCUUGGGCCUGCUGUACCCACAUGACUGCUUCUCUCACGUUCUACUGGCCAAGCUCUAUGGGCAGCUCAGACACAAGGGAAGAGACUCUGCUGCUUCCUGGGAGAAGCUGCAAGACCACAUUGCGAAGCAACAUGUUGUUGCUGCUCCCAUGUUACCUUUGUCAGUGACCUGAGAUGCAGACUGGAUCUAGGGAAUGGUGUUUCCUGUGUGAUGCCUUCCAGGAGUAUCUGCACCACGGGCAGUGCCAGGCCGAGGACAGAGGGCCUAAUGGAGGACACUCUACAACUCCAUCCUGCUGCUGGGGGAGCUUGGGGGCGCCUCCACUAGGGUCUUCAGAGGAAAGGCAUGUGUGUGAUCUGUGGCCUGCCAGCAGGAGAGCUGGGGGAGGCCAGCAUCUUGAGGCUGUUGGCAGCAAGUGCAGGCGGAGGCCUCGGGCCAGAGGGGAGGUGGCAGGGCUCAGGUGCCCUGUGCUUCCUCGGAGAAGACACUUGGGAUGAAGGCUUAGUCCUCCCUGGUAAACCUGGAGGCCUGUGAACACUGGGGUUAGCCCCAACAAGGGAGGAGGUUCCCGCUGCCUCACUAAGAACAGCCUGCUGCUACACUCACCCUGACAGCUGCUCCGCUCCCAGUGAACCCCACCCUGAGAAGGCUCAUCGGGGCCACGGACCUCCCUCAGCGCUGCAUUCAGAAUCCCUCAGGAGUUGUAAACUUCCU
RNAcentral lists this non-coding RNA (889 nucleotides) under Pan troglodytes (chimpanzee). The record is from RNAcentral. Lineage: Eukaryota; Metazoa; Chordata; Mammalia; Primates; Hominidae.